RNAcentral lists this ribosomal RNA (497 nucleotides) under uncultured bacterium. RNAcentral's name for it is "partial 16S ribosomal RNA". It matches the Rfam family "Bacterial small subunit ribosomal RNA", at positions 28 to 507 of the family's 1533-position model. The record is from RNAcentral.
GAUGAACGCUGGCGGCGUGCCUAAUACAUGCAAGUCGAGCGCACGGACGAUACGCUUGCUUUUCUGACGUUAGCGGCUGACGGGUGAGUAACACGUUGAUAACCUACUUAUCAGACUGGGAUCACUUCGUGACACUGGAGCUAAUACCGUAUAAUAUCUUGAACUGCAUGGUUCAAAAGUGAUAGACGGUCUUGCUGUCACUUAUCGAUGGAUCCGCGCUGUAUUUGCUAUUUGGUAAGGUAACGGCUUACCAAGGCAACGAUGCAUAGCCGACCGGAGAGGGUGAUGGGCCACACUGGAACUGGAACAGGGUCCGGACUCCUACGGGAGGAAGAGGAGGGGAAUCUUCGGCAAUGGGCGAAGGCUUGACGGACAAACGCGGCGUGGGUAAGGAGGGUCUUCGGAUCGUAAAACUCGGUUAUUAGGGAAGAACAGAUGUGUAGGGAACUGUGCACAUCUUGACGGUACCUAAUCAGAAAGCGACGGCUAACUACGUG